UCAAAAUCUACUAAAAAUCAAAUUUUAAUUCCUACCAAAGAGGAAAUUUAUAUUAGAUUUAUCAAAGAGUUCAUAGAGUAAGAAGAGGAACUAGAAUCAAAUGCCUUUCUACUUUCUAAUUAUGUUCUAAGAUUUUGAGAUAUUUUAGUAUGCUUCUAUGCCACGCUGCUCAAAUACUUUUGUUACCAUAAUGUACCCAUGGUCGACAAUAAAUCCAUUACAUGUUUUGACUCUUUGGAAAUGGAAACAACUCAGUGGCUCAUGAUACAAGUCCCUAGUGCUAAGAUGGAACUACAAUUAAAUAGCAACAAGAUUUGUUUUCUAUUGUCACUGUUCAAUUAUCACGCGUAUUAUUACUUCAAAAUGCGCGCUCUUUUCUUCCCAAUUACUUAGAAAACAUUAAAGCAUUCUUAUACUAGCUUGUGCUUAUUUGGAAUAUUAUGUUCAAUACCAAUCCUUGUUUGACUUAAUUGCAGGUCUUAAAAUUUGAUAAUUUACUUGCGAACGAUACUGAUUCAUUGUCCAUUACCCAUACUCAAGUGCAGUUGGCUUCACUGUUUGCUGCACCCUUUACUUUGACAAUCUGCAUAAUUUUUUUAUUAUUUUUAUUAUUAUUAUUUUUCAUUUUCCCUUCAUUUUAUUGGUAACCAAUACAUUAUGUUGCUAAAGAAAUAGCUGUUAUUGAGUGGAGUAGCUUACUUUUUAUUUUUAUUUUUUUGCCAUCAUUAUCUGCCUCGAGAAUGAGGAUGAACUGAUUUUGCAAGCAUAUUGAAAGAUUUGAAUGACUGGCAGGGCUUAUAUCAGUACGGGUAAUUGAGUAUUGUAAAUUUGCUAAAUAUGAAAAUUUUACAUCAUAUAAAAUAUAAUUUAUAAUUGUUACGUCAUAAAUGUUAUUGGUGAAAUCUCCAAGUGCUCUUUCACAUUAUCUGUUACUUUCUAUGUUCUAGUAAUACUAGUCAGCUUCUUGCUUAACAUUCUGUUAUGCAUGAUUUUACAUAGUAUGAGUUUAACUCAGAUGUAAUGUUUCAUUGGAUAUUCAAUAUUUUAUGAGCAAUUGAUUCCAGUGGAAGACGAAAAUUGGUAUUCUUAGACUUGAUUGUCACCAAUACAAAUACCAAUACGAAUACCAACAAAACUAAGAACUUAAAUGAAGUAUUUCACAAGCAAGUAUAUUUGCUAAGAAUAAUGGAAAAUCAUUGAUAUAUAACAGCGAGGAGAUUGCGCCUUACUAUGUUUUAUAUCGACUGAUGAUCUUGGAGGAGAACUCAUUUUAGAUUGCGUUGGUAUGUGUGGAACUGCUGGGAAAAUGUGCACUGCUCCUUGCUGCAAUUUAAUCUCACAGUUCAACUGUGAAACAUUAUUUUAACUGACAUGGAGUGAUUGAGUUAUGCCUUCCACUAUGGAAGUUCUGAUAGAAAGUUGGAGAGUGUGGUACAUGUCUGAAAGUAUGAAGCUUCAGCAGAUGGUUGUCAUAGGAGGAGGUUAGACUUGUUGGCUAUCGAUGGGCAUGUUAGUGAAUGCUACUAAUGGAUACGAGAUCGAUGUGUUGGCAUAGGAGAAUUUUUAAAGGUGUUGUUGACCCCUUUAUAGAGGAUGUAUAUUACCCUCUUUUUCCUGUAUUUUUUGGAUUAAAUAAUCUGUUACUUCUUAUAUGGGUUCUUGGACAAACUUUGUGUCUCACAUUUUUUUGAUCAAAUAAAAUAUGAAUAACAGAGUAACAGUGUCUUGUGAUCUCGUAACCAUUAGUCUUUUUGGCUUUGGAUAUAUUUGAAAUUCUGAUUUCAUCUCCAUUUUCUUUCUAGGAUGAUGGCAAUAAACACUUAGCAUCUUUUUGAUACUCAACAUACUCUACAAGUAAGAUAACAAGUUAUUACCCCCCCAUUCUCUUAAUUGAAAACUCGGCCCAAUCUUUUACUAAAAGGAUUGAGCCGAAUAUAAAGGUUAUGUUGCUUUUUAAUACAUCCUAGGGCCUAGCAAGGAAAUAAUCGUCUUUAAGUCUUCUCCUCUCCAUUAUCUUUGAGAUUUUUUGGAUGAUGGUAGAGGAGAGCAGUGGGAGCUUAGGCUUACAUAAUUGUGCAAUUAGGUGUGGUUUUCCUUUAUUUUCCUUUUAUUAGUCAAGGUUUAAAUGGAAAAAACAACUUGUUGAGUUUUGGUUUUGCUGUCUUUCAUUUUGUUUGUCAUAUAUUCAUAAUUUCAAAUCAAUAUCAAGGCCUAAAAAAACUCAAUUGGACAUGGUCUAAUUGAUUGGCUUAAUGUAUAGGUUGUGUGCUCCAAUUUAAUUUCUGGUUUUAUCUUGUCUCUGCCUAUUCAAAAUUGCAGUAUAUUGGACUAGUAUCAUCACGAGCGAUUUUCAAAACGCCUUUCCAGGAGUUAUUAAUUAUAGAGAACUCCCUUUCUCAGCACAUCCGUCCCAUUUAAAUCAAUGAAUAUCCUUACAGAUCCUUGCUCAGCUUUAACCAUGUUUACAUUCAAGUUUAAGGCUAUCAAAAUGCAUUUUUCAUGUAUUAUUAAUAAUAGGGACCUCCCUUUCUUCUCUCAUCCGGCCCAAUGCAAAUGAAUAUAUAUACGUACAGAUCCUUGCUGAGCUUUAACCAUGUUUACAUUCAAGUUCAAAGCCUAAUUGAACUCUAAUUCCUGUCAAUUUCUAAGUGAUUUUACUGUUGCUACACUUCAUACUCUUGAUGGGUUGAAUUUAACUCCUUGCCGAGUUCUCAAUCGUUGCCAAUUAUAAUCAAACAUUGUGACCCUCUAACCCUCGUCCCACCACUGAAAAUUGAUAAAUUCAAAUUAUGAGUCGACAGUACUUUCUAAAAGGAAAGGUGAUUUUAUUAACAAAUAGAGAUUGUCAGAGUCGACUAAAUAAUGUAUUUCCCAGACAACAUAUUGGAGAAUCUUAGAACAACAGACCAGUGGUACCAGCGGGGAUUAGUGAUAUUAAAGUUCGCUUGGUUAGCUACUUGUUAAAAUUGAGUUUCCUGUUACAUGUAGCAAAUGUUAUUCUGAAGAGAGAACAAUUUAUUGUUGGACUGCCAAUGCUGAGAACCUGAGACUGAUCUUUUUGGAGAUUUGGAAAGGAAUUGAUGUAAUCUCAAGGACUUAAAAAUAUAAAAAGAAAACACUGGUGGGCAGGUCCCACUUAAAUAUUUUGGAAGUUACUAGGUUUUGGAUUGAAUGAGGUUCAUCCCAGUUGACUUUUGACAAAAUAUAUCAUGGAGAAAAGCUAAUUAAGAUAUAACACGUGUCUUAGGAAGUCGAACAUAGAUGCUAACCUAUCGACUGAAACCUCUCGAGCCUGUUCCAAUGAUUAGUCUUGUGCCUUUACUAAUUCUUUGAUUCCAAUUAGUAAGAAGGAUCUUGAACUAAGAAAUAGACCCUAGAAACUAUCUGUUUUACGUCAAGCAACAGGUAGAGUUACCAAAACUAGUAUUCAAGUAAGAAUUUCUCCUGAUUUAUGUUAAUAAGUCAAGUCAAAUACAUUUUAUAUCAUCUUGUAGCUUCUGCUUCUCUCUCACUGUCAAAAUGAUAUAAUGUUUAUUUGUAUAUUCUUGUGGUAAAUUCUUUGAUUUACCAUGCUUAUACAAUAUGUUAUCGAAGCUAUUUCCGUUUACACAAGUUAAUAUUAGUUGAAUUAUACUAUAGCUUCUAAUAAAUGAUUAUACCAUUUAAGGAAUAAUCCUGGAACAAAAUUUCAUGCUAAGAAAGAACUAAUUUUACAGCAUUGCAAAGUCCAGAACUCAGACAAGCACGAUAACUUCCUUUUGAACUAUGAGCGUAAAGUAUUUCUAUUUAUUCUUUUUGCAUUUUGCCUAUUCUAAUGCUUAUAACUCGUAUAAAAUUUAAUGUCAAACUGGAUAAUGUGCAACCUUCACGUGGUACGUGUGCAAGCUGAAAUAGUUUCCAAUGCUUCGUCUUUAUGGCAUAGUUUUGAUAAAGUAUGCUAUUACCAUCUCCAGAAUGUUACUGUUUCCGCUUCUAAUCCAGGAUUGAAGGCUAUGAGUUUGAUUUUGAUUCGUCGCUAGAUACAAUGUGAUUGUCAUCGUCCACUAUUGUAGGUCAGCUUAUUGUCUUUCUCAUUUGAGUCUCAAAAUCAGUACAGUUAAGUCCUUGUUGAGACAACAAUUGUAUCCAUGCUACACGACUCUUAAAGGAAAGUGAGGAUGAGGAGCUAUUGCUGGUAAUGGAAAUCAUGUCUUUCUUGGGGUCCAGGACCAGGUUGUUGAAGAUAUGAUAAAAUCAAGAUUUGACAUCUAAUGAAUUGAGAACCCUGUGUUGGGGCCAUUUAUGAAGGCUGCACUCAAAUGGCAGAGAUUUUUUCAGAAUAGUCAAGUGCAAUUUACCGCUGAAUGGUCCAGCAUUGGAUCUUAUCUCAUCAACUUAUUUCUAAUUUAGGGUAGCAGCAACAGAGCAAAGCGGCCCUUCACAGCACCUGAGGUUAGCAUUUUCCAAUUCUGUCUUUAGCCCCGUCCCGAAAGCUGAGUACAAAAGUAUCCAGAGACAAUGAUCGGCGUUGGAAUUUAGUUUUCUUUUUGGUUUCAUUAUAAAUGUCAAGCGUUUGGUGAAAAGAAUGAAUCUGUCCCACACGUGAGAGAGCGUGUAGCUUCUUAAACGCGAGUUGAUUCAGUAAAGAGACUAUUUUUGGAAGGUCUGAAGAUUAACAGAUUGGGUGCUGUAAGGGGACCAUUUUAUGUGCAUUAGAUACAAAUGGGUCCAAUCUAUUUAUGAGAGUUUGUAAAGUAAGAAUUUUAGAUUAUUAGAUGUUUGUCGCGCAGCGCAAUAGCAGAGCGAGAUUAAAUCUUUA
Molecule: long non-coding RNA, 4798 nt
Organism: Olea europaea var. sylvestris
Lineage: Eukaryota; Viridiplantae; Streptophyta; Magnoliopsida; Lamiales; Oleaceae
Exons: 3
Source: RefSeq, a predicted model, not a curated record